AGAGCGAACGCUGGCGGCAGGCCUAAUACAUGCAAGUCGAACGAACCCUUCGGGGUUAGUGGCGGACGGGUGAGUAACACGUGGGAACGUGCCUUUUGGUUCGGAACAACUCAGGGAAACUUGAGCUAAUACCGAAUGUGCCCCCUCCUUUAACCAGGGGGUGGGAAAGAUUUAUCGCCAUUAGAGCGGCCCGCGUCUGAUUAGCUAGUUGGUGGGGUAAAGGCCCACCAAGGCUACGAUCAGUAGCUGGUCUGAGAGGAUGAUCAGCCACACUGGGACUGAGACACGGCCCAGACUCCUACGGGAGGCAGCAGUAGGGAAUCUUGCGCAAUGGGCGAAAGCCUGACGCAGCCAUGCCGCGUGAAUGAUGAAGGUCUUAGGAUUGUAAAAUUCUUUCAGCGGGGACGAUAAUGACGGUACCCGCAGAAGAAGCCCGGCUAACUUCGUGCCAGCAGCCGC
This 459-nucleotide ribosomal RNA is filed under the name uncultured bacterium. RNAcentral describes it as "SSU rRNA". It matches the Rfam family "Bacterial small subunit ribosomal RNA", at positions 26 to 518 of the family's 1533-position model. The record is from RNAcentral.